UACGCAGGCGGUCUAGUAAGUCAGAGGUGAAAUCCAUCGGCUCAACCGGUGAACUGCCUUUGAUACUGUUAGACUUGAGGAUAAGAGAAGAAAGCGGAAUUCCUAGUGUAGUGGUGAAAUACGUAGAUAUUAGGAAGAAUACCGAUGGCGAAAGCAGCUUUCUAACUUACUCCUGACGCUGAGGUACGAAAGCUAGGGUAUCAAACG
Molecule: ribosomal RNA, 207 nt
Filed under: uncultured bacterium
Lineage: Bacteria
Description: partial 16S ribosomal RNA
Rfam family: Bacterial small subunit ribosomal RNA
Source: RNAcentral